This 379-nucleotide ribosomal RNA is filed under the name uncultured bacterium. RNAcentral's name for it is "bacterial SSU rRNA". It matches the Rfam family "Bacterial small subunit ribosomal RNA", at positions 31 to 415 of the family's 1533-position model. The record is from RNAcentral.
GAACGCUAGCGGCAGGCUUAACACAUGCAAGUCGAGGGGUAGGGUAGCAAUACCUGAGACCGGCGCACGGGUGCGUAACGCGUAUGCAAUCUACCUUUUACAGUGGAAUAGCCCAGAGAAGUUUGGAUUAAUACUGCAUAGUAUAAUUGAAUGGCAUCAUUUAAUUAUUAAAGAUUUAUCGGUAAAAGAUGAGCAUGCGUCCCAUUAGCUAGUUGGUAAGGUAACGGCUUACCAAGGCAACGAUGGGUAGGGGUCCUGAGAGGGAGAUCCCCCACACUGGUACUGAGACACGGACCAGACUCCUACGGGAGGCAGCAGUGAGGAAUAUUGGACAAUGGGCGCAAGCCUGAUCCAGCCAUGCCGCGUGCAGGAUGACGGU